RNAcentral lists this ribosomal RNA (490 nucleotides) under uncultured bacterium. RNAcentral's name for it is "partial 16S ribosomal RNA". It matches the Rfam family "Bacterial small subunit ribosomal RNA", at positions 30 to 507 of the family's 1533-position model. The record is from RNAcentral.
AUUGAACGCUGGCGGCAUGCCUUACACAUGCAAGUCGAACGGCAGCAUGAUCUAGCUUGCUCGAUUGAUGGCGAGUGGCGAACGGGUGAGUAAUACAUCGGAACGUGCCCUGUAGUGGGGGAUAACUAGUCGAAAGAUUAGCUAAUACCGCAUACGACCUGAGGGUGAAAGUGGGGGACCGCAAGGCCUCAUGCUAUAGGAGCGGCCGAUGUCUGAUUAGCUAGUUGGUGGGGUAAAGGCCCACCAAGGCGACGAUCAGUAGCUGGCCUGAGAGGACGAUCAGCCACACUGGGACUGAGACACGGCCCAGACUCCUACGGGAGGCAGCAGUGGGGAAUUUUGGACAAUGGGGGCAACCCUGAUCCAGCAAUGCCGCGUGUGUGAAGAAGGCCUUCGGGUUGUAAAGCACUUUUGUCCGGAAAGAAAUCGCACUUACUAAUAUUAGGUGUGGAUGACGGUACCGGAAGAAUAAGGACCGGCUAACUACGUG